Molecule: ribosomal RNA, 465 nt
Filed under: uncultured bacterium
Lineage: Bacteria
Description: partial 16S ribosomal RNA
Rfam family: Bacterial small subunit ribosomal RNA
Source: RNAcentral
GACGAACGCUGGCGGCGUGCUUAACACAUGCAAGUCGAACGGAAAGGCCCUGCUUGCAGGGUACUCGAGUGGCGAACGGGUGAGUAACACGUGGGUGAUCUGCCCUGCACUUCGGGAUAAGCCUGGGAAACUGGGUCUAAUACCGGAUAGGAGCCAUUUUUAGUGUGAUGGUUGGAAAGUUUGUUCGGUGUAGGAUGAGCUCGCGGCCUAUCAGCUUGUUGGUGGGGUAAUGGCCUACCAAGGCGGCGACGGGUAGCCGGCCUGAGAGGGUGGACGGCCACAUUGGGACUGCGAUACGGACCAGACGCCUACGGGAGGCAGCAGUGGGGAAUAUUGCACAAUGGGGGCAAGCCUGAUGCAGCGACGCCGCGUGGGUGAUGACGGCCUUCGGGUUGUAAACUCCUUUCGCUAGGGACGAAGCUUUUUGUGACGGUACCUAGAUAAGAAGCACCGGCUAACUACGUG